Molecule: ribosomal RNA, 253 nt
Filed under: uncultured bacterium
Lineage: Bacteria
Description: partial 16S ribosomal RNA
Rfam family: Bacterial small subunit ribosomal RNA
Source: RNAcentral
UACGAAGGAGGCUAGCGUUGUUCGGAAUUACUGGGCGUAAAGCACACGUAGGCGGAUUAGUAAGUCAGGGGUGAAAUCCCGGGGCUCAACCUCGGAACUGCCUUUGAUACUGCUGAUCUCGAGUCCGGAAGAGGUGAGUGGAAUUCCUAGUGUAGAGGUGAAAUUCGUAGAUAUUAGGAAGAACACCAGUGGCGAAGGCGGCUCACUGGUCCGGUACUGACGUUGAGGUGCGAAAGCGUGGGGAGCAAACAGG